RNAcentral lists this ribosomal RNA (500 nucleotides) under uncultured bacterium. RNAcentral's name for it is "partial 16S ribosomal RNA". It matches the Rfam family "Bacterial small subunit ribosomal RNA", at positions 30 to 523 of the family's 1533-position model. The record is from RNAcentral.
AUUGAACGCUGGCGGCAGGCCUAACACAUGCAAGUCGAGCGGAUGACGGGAGCUUGCUCCUUGAUUCAGCGGCGGACGGGUGAGCAAUGCCUAGGAAUCUGCCUGGUAGUGGGGGACAACGUUUCGAAAGGAACGCUAAUACCGCAUACGUCCUACGGGAGAAAGCAGGGGACCUUCGGGCCUUGCGCUAUCAGAUGAGCCUAGGUCGGAUUAGCUAGUUGGUGGGGUAAUGGCUCACCAAGGCGACGAUCCGUAACUGGUCUGAGAGGAUGAUCAGUCACACUGGAACUGAGACACGGUCCAGACUCCUACGGGAGGCAGCAGUGGGGAAUAUUGGACAAUGGGUGAAAGCCUGAUCCAGCCAUGCCGCGUGUGUGAAGAAGGUCUUCGGAUUGUAAAGCACUUUAAGUUGGGAGGAAGGGCAGUAAGCUAAUACCUUGCUGUUUUGACGUUACCGACAGAAUAAGCACCGGCUAACUCUGUGCCAGCAGCCGCCGUAA